This 96-nucleotide ribosomal RNA is filed under the name Desulfovibrio sp. The record is from RNAcentral. Lineage: Bacteria; Pseudomonadati; Thermodesulfobacteriota; Desulfovibrionia; Desulfovibrionales; Desulfovibrionaceae.
AGGGUACACCCGAUCCCAUUCCGAACUCGGCAGUUAAGCUCUUCGUCGCCGAUGAUACUGCAUACCGUCAUGUGGGAAAGUAGGUAGCUGCCAAAU